UGGGGAAUUUUGGACAAUGGGCGAAAGCCUGAUCCAGCAAUGCCGCGUGUGUGAAGAAGGCCUUCGGGUUGUAAAGCACUUUUGUCCGGAAAGAAAUCCUUGGCUCUAAUACAGUCGGGGGAUGACGGUACCGGAAGAAUAAGCACCGGCUAACUACGUGCCAGCAGCCGCGGUAAUACGUAGGGUGCAAGCGUUAAUCGGAAUUACUGGGCGUAAAGCGUGCGCAGGCGGUUUGCUAAGACCGAUGUGAAGUCCCCGGGCUCAACCUGGGAACUGCAUUGGUGACUGGCAGGCUAGAGUAUGGCAGAGGGGGGUAGAAUUCCACGUGUAGCAGUGAAAUGCGUAGAGAUGUGGAGGAAUACCGAUGGCGAAGGCAGCCCCCUGGGCCAAUACUGACGCUCAUGCACGAAAGCGUGGGGAGCAAACAGGAUUAGAUACCCUGGUAGUCCACGCCCUAAACGAUGUCAACUAGUUGUUGGGGAUUCAUUUCCUUAGUAACGUAGCUAACGCGUGAAGUUGACCGCCUGGGGAGUACGGUCGCAAGAUUAAAACUCAAAUGAAUUGACGGGGUCAUAGCUGUUUCC
Molecule: ribosomal RNA, 584 nt
Filed under: uncultured bacterium
Lineage: Bacteria
Description: partial 16S ribosomal RNA
Rfam family: Bacterial small subunit ribosomal RNA
Source: RNAcentral